Long non-coding RNA from Clupea harengus (Atlantic herring), 521 nucleotides. Lineage: Eukaryota; Metazoa; Chordata; Actinopteri; Clupeiformes; Clupeidae. The record is from Ensembl.
GGUGAUUAGUCAGGUGAUUGGACAGGUGAUUGGUGAUUGGUGAUUGGUGAUUGGUCAGGUGAUUGAUCAGGUGAUUGGUGAUUGGUCAGGUGAUUGAUCAGGUGAUUGGUCAGGUGAUUGGUCAGGUGAUUGGUGAUUGGUCAGGUGAUUGGUGAUUGGUCAGGUGAUUGGUGAUUGAUUGGUCAGGUGAUUGAUCAGGUGAUUGGUGAUUGGUGAUUGGUGAUUGGUCAGGUGAUUGGUCAGGUGAUUGGUGAUUGGUCAGGUGAUUGGUCUCACACUAACCCACACACCUGAAGACUCACACAGCUUUGAGUUUGGGCUUUGAAACUGAUCCUGGUCCUGCCUACUGAUCCAACUCAGUGAGCAGAGACAAACUGGAUCAGAACAUCAGAACAUCACAGUGUCUCAGUGAGCACAGAGGCAAAGUGGAUCAGAACAUCACACACAAGCUAAUCUAAAGAGAAUAAUCUAAAGUGAAUAAUCUAAAGUGAAUAAUCUAAAGAGAAUAAUCUAAAGUGAAU